This 568-nucleotide ribosomal RNA is filed under the name Bacillus sp. CH379c_12D. RNAcentral's name for it is "bacterial SSU rRNA". It matches the Rfam family "Bacterial small subunit ribosomal RNA", at positions 59 to 610 of the family's 1533-position model. The record is from RNAcentral. Lineage: Bacteria; Bacillati; Bacillota; Bacilli; Caryophanales; Bacillaceae.
CAGUCGAGCGGACUUUUAAAGCUUGCUUUUGAAAGGUCAGCGGCGGACGGGUGAGUAACACGUGGGCAACCUGCCUGUAAGACUGGGAUAACUUCGGGAAACCGGAGCUAAUACCGGAUAAUAUAAGGAACCUCCUGGUUCUUUAUUGAAAGAUGGUUUCGGCUAUCACUUACAGAUGGGCCCGCGGCGCAUUAGCUAGUUGGUGAGGUAACGGCUCACCAAGGCGACGAUGCGUAGCCGACCUGAGAGGGUGAUCGGCCACACUGGGACUGAGACACGGCCCAGACUCCUACGGGAGGCAGCAGUAGGGAAUCUUCCACAAUGGACGAAAGUCUGAUGGAGCAACGCCGCGUGAGCGAUGAAGGCCUUCGGGUCGUAAAGCUCUGUUGUUAGGGAAGAACAAGUGCGAGAGUAACUGCUCGCACCUUGACGGUACCUAACCAGAAAGCCACGGCUAACUACGUGCCAGCAGCCGCGGUAAUACGUAUGUGGCAAGCGUUGUCCGGAAUUAUUGGGCGUACAGCGCGCGCAGGUGGUCCUUUAAGUCUGAUGUGAAAGCCCACGGCUC